This 282-nucleotide ribosomal RNA is filed under the name uncultured prokaryote. Its description in RNAcentral is "partial 16S ribosomal RNA". It matches the Rfam family "Bacterial small subunit ribosomal RNA", at positions 505 to 786 of the family's 1533-position model. The record is from RNAcentral.
GUGCCAGCAGCCGCGGUAAUACGGAGGCUGCAAGCGUUAAUCGGAAUUACUGGGCGUAAUGCGCACGCAGGCGGUCUGUCAAGUCGGAUGUGAAAUCCGCGGGCUCAACCUGGGAACUGCAUUCGAAACUGGCAGGCUAGAGUCUUGUAGAGGGGGGUAGAAUUCCAGGUGUAGCGGUGAAAUGCGUAGAGAUCUGGAGGAAUACCGGUGGCGAAGGCGGCCCCCUGGACAGAUACUGACACUCAGAUGCGAAAGCGUGGGGAGCAAACAGGAUUAGAUACC